Molecule: long non-coding RNA, 291 nt
Organism: Acipenser ruthenus (sterlet)
Lineage: Eukaryota; Metazoa; Chordata; Actinopteri; Acipenseriformes; Acipenseridae
Exons: 3
Source: RefSeq, a predicted model, not a curated record
GUAAAGAACAUUUCCAGGUCAUUUUACAAGAGUGGGUCUGUGGAGGUUCAUUGGUACCAUACCUAGUGCACUAGCGUAUCUUGAGUUACUGUAACUGAAACUUUAUUUUGGGCUAACAGUCUUUUCUCCUUUGGAUUCAUCAGUCUAAUCUCAGACCUGAACAAACUGCUCUAGAAGGGAGACAACCAACCAGGAGGCCGGACACCAGAACGGCCAGAAAGGCGAGAACAGCCACCCAGAGCCUGGGUCUCUGCCUUUUGAAGACAGUUCUUAUUUUUCAUAUAUCCUACA